GAUGAACGCUGGCGGCGUGCCUAAUACAUGCAAGUCGAGCGAACAGAUAAGGAGCUUGCUCCUUUGACGUUAGCGGCGGACGGGUGAGUAACACGUGGGUAACCUACCUAUAAGACUGGGAUAACUUCGGGAAACCGGAGCUAAUACCGGAUAAUAUUUCGAACCGCAUGGUUCGAUAGUGAAAGAUGGUUUUGCUAUCACUUAUAGAUGGACCCGCGCCGUAUUAGCUAGUUGGUAAGGUAACGGCUUACCAAGGCGACGAUACGUAGCCGACCUGAGAGGGUGAUCGGCCACACUGGAACUGGGACACGGUCCAGACUCCUACGGGAGGCAGCAGUAGGGAAUCUGCCGCAAUGGGCGAAAGCCUGACGGAGCAACGCCGCGUGAGUGAUGAAGGUCUUCGGAUCGUAAAACUCUGUUAUUAGGGAAGAACAUACGUGUAAGUAACUGUGCACGUCUUGACGGUACCUAAUCAGAAAGCCACGGCUAACUACGUG
Molecule: ribosomal RNA, 497 nt
Filed under: uncultured bacterium
Lineage: Bacteria
Description: partial 16S ribosomal RNA
Rfam family: Bacterial small subunit ribosomal RNA
Source: RNAcentral